UGCAAGUCGAACGCUCGUAGCAAUACGGGAGUGGCAGACGGGUGAGUAACGCGUGGGAAUCUACCCAAUGGUACGGAAUAACUCAGGGAAACUUGAGCUAAUACCGUAUGUGCCCGAAAGGGGAAAGAUUUAUCGCCAUUGGAUGAGCCCGCGUCGGAUUAGCUAGUUGGUGGGGUAACGGCCCACCAAGGCGACGAUCCGUAGCUGGUCUGAGAGGAUGAUCAGCCACACUGGGACUGAGACACGGCCCAGACUCCUACGGGAGGCAGCAGUGGGGAAUAUUGGACAAUGGGCGCAAGCCUGAUCCAGCCAUGCCGCGUGAGUGAUGAAGGCCCUAGGGUUGUAAAGCUCUUUCGACGGGGACGAUAAUGACGGUACCCGUAGAAGAAGCCCCGGCUAACUUCGUGCCAGCAGCCGCGGUAAUAC
RNAcentral lists this ribosomal RNA (426 nucleotides) under uncultured bacterium. RNAcentral describes it as "bacterial SSU rRNA". It matches the Rfam family "Bacterial small subunit ribosomal RNA", at positions 56 to 526 of the family's 1533-position model. The record is from RNAcentral.